Long non-coding RNA from Oncorhynchus tshawytscha (Chinook salmon), 1083 nucleotides. The record is from Ensembl. Lineage: Eukaryota; Metazoa; Chordata; Actinopteri; Salmoniformes; Salmonidae.
UGGGGAAAUCCACCCAAUGACUGAGGUCUUGGGGAAAUCCACCCAAUGACUGAGGUCUUGGGGAAAUCCACCCAAUGACUGAGGUCUUGGGAAAAUCCACCCAUUCAUUCAGAUGAUCAUUAAUAUGUGAUACUGAUUGAUUUGUUGAAUGCUGAUAUUGCUGGCCAGUAUUAGGGCUGUAGCUUCCAUCCAUUUUGAUUUUGUUUACAGUGCUACAGUAUAUUUAGUUUGAACAUUUGUUGGAGGAAAUUAUAGUUGAAAUGAUUAAUUAUGUAUACAUUUCUUUAAGAACCAUUUAUUUUAAUACUAUUAUGUUAUGGUAUGAAAUGUAUGGGUUCUUGGUUAAGCUGUUACUGAAAAUGUAAGUAAAACAAAUUAAUUGUCUGUACCUUUCGGGUUUAAGGGAGAAAGGAGGGCAUAUAUCUUUUCAGACAGAUAAGAAUGUUUGUUUGAUGUUCCAUUAGUGGAGAAAAGUAUAUCUUUUAGACAGAUUGGAAUGUUUGUUUUAUGAGGGGAGUAGAAGACAUGUCCAGACCUGAAGACACUGCGCUAUUGUGGGGAUCGGAGAGAGUGUGUGAAACUGAUGACGUCAUUUUAUGUUCUCUCUAAAAUCAAAUGCUCUUUGUAUUUUGGGUCAGUACUCACUUGAAUUAAUCGCUAUUACCUGACUUUUAAGACUGGUCUCGAUCUAUUUCAUGCAUAAUUAAUACAUUUACAACUUAUUAAUGAAAUAGAGAGAGUGCGAAUUUGGUUUUGGCUACAAAACAUAUAGGAAUUUAGAAUUCCUCUAACAACAUUCAAAUAAGUUUUAACCAAAACUAGUUUCUGGUUACAUUCAGCUGUUUAAACACACAGACAGAAGUGAUAACAGUGAGCUGGUAAGGAAAGUUGUUGUUGGUUAAGAGGAUGUUUUGAACAGGAAAUCGUUUGAGUAAUAUUUUUGAUGUUUUUUAGAAGAGAUUCUGGAAUGCAAAGCAUCAAGAGAGCUCACUGAGUUUUUUAUGUAUUGUAAAGUUCAUCGGUAUAUUUUGCUUGUUAUUUAUUGUUCAAGUCAAUAAAACAAUCUUAUGUUUUAAAAUAGUU